RNAcentral lists this long non-coding RNA (228 nucleotides) under Elaeis guineensis (African oil palm). RNAcentral's name for it is "long non-coding RNA (EGUI_LNC029318)". The record is from RNAcentral. Lineage: Eukaryota; Viridiplantae; Streptophyta; Magnoliopsida; Arecales; Arecaceae.
GUGGUAAGGCCCAGAGAGCUUUUGGGGUGGCCCGGUAGACGAAUGCAGAAGUUCACUAUCGGAGAAGUCCGGACGGUCGAGGGGGUUUGGAGAGACGCCACACACAAGGUCGGAAGCCGGAAGAGUCCUGGAAGGGUCGGUCUUUUACAAACUUCGACCGGAGGAUAUUUUAUACCCAACAUCUUCUAUCUUAUCAUCAUUUAUGAACUGAUCAUCACCCUCUGAAUC